CAAUGAACACGAUUCUAAGGAAUGUGCCAUGAGCACUCGAAGCCAGCCAUGGCACCUUAGCACAGACUGUCAUAACAAAAUACAGCCUGGAUGGCAGAACAGAAACUUAUUUCUCGGAGGCAUGGAGGCUGGGAAGGCCAAGAUCAAGGUGCUGAUAAGCCAUUAGUUCCUCAGGAUCACCUCUGACAUGUAAAGUCCCCAGUGAGACCCCAAAUUCACUUGCAGAUAAUCUAAGAAACAAACACACUAAAAGACUGGAUACUUUCUACAACCUACCCUGACAAAGAUUUACACACCUUUUCCAAAAGACUACGCCACAACAGGCGAUGACGUACUGUCUAUUCGGUGCCAGAUACUAAGACUACAACAGAUGAAUAGAAGCACGGACCUUGUCUUCGAGGCCCUCGCCAACCAGUCAAGCGAACAGAUAAACAGGUAUAGUGAGGCUGCAGAGGCAACUCCUCGGCCUGGCUGCCUCCAACACGAGGAUCGUGUUUCAUGAGAACAACGGCCACGGUUCCAGCUUCAGCUCUCACUAGGGCAAAGCCUAAUGACCAAUAAUAAUGGGUGAUGCUUUGGGGGAAUUCACUCAUUCUUUUGAUAAAUAUGUAUGCAAUAUUUACUAUGUGCCUGGAACAGUGUGAAGUGCCAGGGAUACAAUGGUGAAGAACAAAACUACCCACGGUCUCUACUUUCUCGAAGCAAACAGUCUAAAUGCCAAUACCUGUAUUGCCAGACUUAACCACAAUAGAAUCCAAUCGGCAGCCGGGGAGCCAAUACGAUCAUUAUUAAGGGUCACAUGUAACCUGUAUCAGAUACUGGAGGCUCUCAACCAUUCAAUCUUCAACAGACACUUACAAAUGUCUCUUAUGUGCAGGAUACUCUGCUGGGUACAAUACAGAGAAGGAAGGAUGAAUAAGAAAGACACCACUGUAGUCUUCAGAGAAGCUGUCUAAAGCGUCUUAAGACUUUUCAAAUGGCGUAUUUAGUUUUCAAAACCAAACAAACAUGGUAAUACAAAGUAACAAGAAUUCAAUGUGACUCAGUGGGUUAGCUAGUUAACUUUUCAAGGAAAAAUACUUAAAGUGUUUUUGGAAACCAUGAAUAAACUAACCCUUCUAUCUAGAGAAGGCAAUCCAAACUACUAAAUAGUGAUUAAAGGUUGAGCCAUACACUCGAAGAGAGAUCAAGCAAAAGAUAGAGACGUUUGGGGGGGGGGGGGGGAAUCACACACUGGAAUACGGCAGGAGAAGUUUUAAUUUUUUAAGUCGGCUAGUCAUUGGCCACCACCAAAAAUGUUCUACAUUCAGUUUCCUAAAUCUGUGACAGAUAAACCGGCAAUAUAAUCCAGGAUGGUCCAUAGCGAAGGUAGGGACCAAAAGAACCUUUCCAGAACCUUACUAAAAUGCCAAACUGCAAAAAACAUAAAAUAAAACUGAAGUAAAAAGACCCAAUGAACACAUACACAAACCACAAACUUCCUUUUAUUCCACUAUCAUAUUUAUAACUCACUAGACAGUAUAACAUAAGGCUUAUCUUAUUAAAUGAUAUCAAGAAAAUAGCCACCAAAACAGAAGACUUUGUUAAUGAUUUUUAUUUGAAACAGCAAGUUUAUUCUGGAUAUGUUCCUUCACUGAUAAAAGUGUACAUUACUUAAACAAAAUCAUCAUGUUCCUAAUAAUUGUACAGCCCUCUCAGUAAUAAAUCUUAACUAGUUA
Long non-coding RNA from Herpailurus yagouaroundi (jaguarundi), 1718 nucleotides. RefSeq lists it as uncharacterized. Lineage: Eukaryota; Metazoa; Chordata; Mammalia; Carnivora; Felidae. The transcript has 5 exons. The record is from RefSeq and is a predicted model, not a curated record.